UGCGCCGGAGUGUCGCUGCCGCGGGAGGGCGGGGCACAGAGAAAUGGCGGGAGAGCGCGGCGGCGGGGACGCGCUUCUGGUCCGGAGGGGGUGGGGCAGCGAUGAGUGAGGGGGGAGAGAGUACCAGCCCGCGGCUGCUGGCGGCCCCCCUGCAGGUGACGGUGCUGGCCGUGUGGGUGUGUGCCCUGCGCCGGGACGUGAGUGGUUACCACCGGGUGCUGGAGUUGCUGCAGACGCUGAGCACGGCUGCCCCGGGGCUGGUGUCCUACCGGCACCUCGCCAAGCUGCAGCUGGGACUGAAGGCCAAGAUGAUCCUGGAAAUGUUCCGAAAGGGCUGUCGCCUGGCCGACAUCCGGACCCGGCUCGGACAUCUCUUCCCGCUGGAAGACCCACCUCAGUCCUCUGAGGCGACAGUCGCAGACUCCCAGAAGGUGCGUGGGAUUGAGCAGCAGUUCCGGGAGCUGGUCCUGUACCUCCUGAGGGACCCAUCGUUCCGCACCUCUUUCCUGCAGGACGAGGGGCAGAGUCACUACGGCGAGGUCUUCAUGGCUGCCCUGGACAAGCUGCUGUGGGAGCUCCUGCUGAGAGUAGGGGAGGCGCAGGACCCUCCCAGGCUGCAGCCCUGCCGUGCUGAUGUGGAGCUGCCGGUGGUCGGGGCCCUGUCCCAGCUCCCCGCCAGCUGCUUUCAGUUGUUGCUGUCCAACAUGGGCUCUACACACUCCCUGUAUCCAGGAACCCCCCUUGUGUUGGAUCCCAGCCCGCCUGGGAAGGGAGCCGACAGCCCAGAGGGAGGUGAGGUGGAGGCAGGAGGGGGAGUGGUAGAUGGCCACCUCCCACGACCGCAGAUGCCCUGCCGGCGGACACCAGGCAAGAAGAUGAAGAGUAGGAGAUCGCUGAGGGGGCGGAGGGGCCGGUCUGCCUUGCCCCCUCCCAGCCGGAGACAGUACCCACGGGCCACAAAGAAAGAGCGUCCACCGCUCCAGAAAACAAACCUUAUAGCUCGUCCCUUCGAGUCCAGGCAGCACCCUGGGGAACCUCUUCUGCACCCUCUCCACACCUUCGCUGUAACGAGGCCAACACAGCUGUACACAACGUACCAAGUGCAGGAACAAAGAGUCGGGAUGCGGAUGUCUGAGCCGGCUAGAUGUACCGGAGAUCGGGGACGAGCCAGACACCGAGUUCAGAGAGACCCCUGCGACUCUACCAGAGGACCAAGCACAACACACUGAUCCCCACUCUGCUCGAGCACCUUGGCCCCCCAGCCGUGCCCCCCCCGGAUGGGCUGCCGAACCCAGGAGUGAGCUGAUGGUGUGCAGGCUCUCCCUGCACCUUGACCCUGGACAUGGGCUCCUGCCUUCUGAUUCCUGAGCUGCUGACAUGAGAGACAGUAUUACGUGGGGAUGGACAGGUGUUCACGUCUCUGCUGCCCAGAUGCUCCCCCAGGCACUGGAUGGACCUUUGGCUGAGCUUCUCUGCAAAGUCCCCCCAAUCCUUAGGAAGAACCCUCUCUCUUUCACCUUCAAGCUGACCAUCGCUGAGGCCUGUACUGGGCCUAGCUUAUGACAAGCAAAAUAGGGUGGUGAUGGUGGGGGUUGCUGUCAUCCUGGAGGGGAAGGUGUUGUCCCUGAGGUUUCACAUGACCGCUGGGAGGUGAGAUCUGGGUUGUGCUGGGUGUUGGGGAGCUGGUGUGUGUCAUGACUCUGCAUCUCGAGUCUCACUCCACCCCUCUUGUACAAUAAAUGUUCCUGCUUAUUGAGGAGGCAGCAGUCUCGUGAGCGUGCCGUUUCUAGGCAAAGGUGGGGAAAGAACUGAGAUGAAGACGGUGAUGUCGACGGGCAGUGCUGAAUAAAGUCAGGACCUCAG
Molecule: RNA transcript, 1863 nt
Organism: Hypanus sabinus (Atlantic stingray)
Lineage: Eukaryota; Metazoa; Chordata; Chondrichthyes; Myliobatiformes; Dasyatidae
Gene name: TERF1-interacting nuclear factor 2-like
Exons: 11
Source: RefSeq, a predicted model, not a curated record